This 284-nucleotide ribosomal RNA is filed under the name uncultured Streptococcus sp. RNAcentral's name for it is "partial 16S ribosomal RNA". It matches the Rfam family "Bacterial small subunit ribosomal RNA", at positions 1098 to 1382 of the family's 1533-position model. Lineage: Bacteria; Bacillati; Bacillota; Bacilli; Lactobacillales; Streptococcaceae. The record is from RNAcentral.
GCAGACCCCUAUUGUUAGUUGCCAUCAUUCAGUUGGGCACUCUAGCGAGACUGCCGGUAAUAAACCGGAGGAAGGUGGGGAUGACGUCAAAUCAUCAUGCCCCUUAUGACCUGGGCUACACACGUGCUACAAUGGUUGGUACAACGAGUUGCGAGUCGGUGACGGCGAGCUAAUCUCUUAAAGCCAAUCUCAGUUCGGAUUGUAGGCUGCAACUCGCCUACAUGAAGUCGGAAUCGCUAGUAAUCGCGGAUCAGCACGCCGCGGUGAAUACGUUCCCGGGCCUU